GGGGUCAGUAGGUUGGUCGUGCCACCGGUACGUACUGGUCUCACUGAUUCCUCCCUCCUGAAGAACCGUAAUGCCAUUAAUUUGGUGUUGCGGGGAAACAGGACUGUUACUUUGAAAAAAUUAGAGUGUUUAAAGCAAGCUAACGCUUGAAUACAUUAGCAUGGAAUAAUGAAAUAGGACGAUCGAUCCUAUUUUGUUGGUUUCUAGGAUUGACGUA
RNAcentral lists this ribosomal RNA (217 nucleotides) under Glomeromycotina sp. Its description in RNAcentral is "partial small subunit ribosomal RNA". The stretch from base 76 to 217 matches the Rfam family "Eukaryotic small subunit ribosomal RNA", at positions 721 to 864 of the family's 1831-position model. The record is from RNAcentral. Lineage: Eukaryota; Fungi; Glomeromycota.